Molecule: unclassified non-coding RNA, 2681 nt
Filed under: Hevea brasiliensis (rubber tree)
Lineage: Eukaryota; Viridiplantae; Streptophyta; Magnoliopsida; Malpighiales; Euphorbiaceae
Source: RNAcentral
UUUUUUUUUUACUUCCUCUCAAAGAUCUUAACACAACGUAAAACCAUUUACUAUUACCAGCAAAACAGUAAAAUGUAUUGAAGUCCAAUGCAAGAUGUAACCAAGGUUGGAUUACUAACCUACCCACCACAACAACGGCAGCUUGUAGAUGCAAAAAUUACUAGCCACGUCUAAAAAAAAUAUCAUACACGCUCGUGAGAGAGCAGAGGGCUGAUUUCUCUCUAUCGUUGAAGCUACUACUACGGCGCCAUAACCUUUCUAUGGCUAAUGUUAUAAACUGUGUAUAUUGUCCAUCCAUUUGUUCAUAAUCAUAAAAACUAAAAAUAAAAGAAAAGGUUCCGAGGGAACAGCAGCCAUUUAUGCAUGAAAACAUUUCUUCAGACCUGAUAUGAAGGAAAUACAGUUGUAGCCCAAUAACAGGAACAGAUGAAACCAAAGAUGCAAAGAUCCCUGCCCGCCAUUUGAGCAGGCACAUUUCAACAAAGCCACCUCAAAGUAGCUUCUGAAACAUACGUUCAACCAUACAUAUUGCUGAAAAUUGAGGCAAAGUCACUAGCCAGACGCUGCAUGGCAAUAAUGUGGAUUACAAGCUAAUUGCUUUAUUAAAAGAUUAUACUUGAUGAAAAAAGAAAUAUGAAGUUUAUAUGGCCUCAUCGAAAAUAGAUAAUUACAAGAACAACAAAUUUUCAACUUAAAUAAAAUGAUCUUCUAUUCAUAAUGAUAAACAUUGGCAGAUGCUGUUGGCGCAUACCCAAUAGCUAUAUCCAAAAGAAUACUAAAGCAGCAGAGGAAAUGAAAUAUUUGUUUACCAUCAACACCAAGAGACUAGAAGAGCCAGGUUUCAGGAUCAUAUAAUAUGGCAACCAAAGCUAAAAAGCCCCACACCAUGAGGACACCAAUCACAGCAGUUCUCCACAUGUGGUCCCAGUUCUCAAUUACGGGAACAUCAGCCUCAAAAUUCAGAUGUGGUGAGGGCAGAUCCUCACCAUCACCAACAAAUUCUGUUGAAUCUAUCCUGCCGAUCUCAUUUAUGGCCUGUGGCUGUCGCAUGGCAUGGAUUCUAAUGUUUGAACAUAUGUUGCAAGUGCAGUUGCCACCUAGAUAUGAUGGGAGAUUCUGAAGAUAAUCGAAAAUAACCCUGUGGUACUUCUUUCCCUCAAUUCUCAACUUCUUUCGAGUGAUGGGUUUCAGAACUUGAAUAAAAGUUUGAGCAAUAACUCGAACAACCGGAGGAAGCCGUAUAACAAGCAAAUGGCCAAGACGAUUGGGGAAGUUAUCUUGCAGGAGCAAAGAACAGGAUCUCAUCAUCUGCAUAGGAAGUCUCAAUGGUGAUAUCCCAUCACAAUCCACAAGAACUGUAAUCUGAGGAUUAUCCUUGCUAACCAAAUGAAGAACUCCAUGCUCUACCUGAGAGAUGACUGCUUGUGCAAAGCGAGGUCUCUCAUGAAAUGGCAAAUUGAGGCAAGCUAGUCCAAGGCGUACAAUGAGGCAAGGCCUGUUCUCCACAUCAAAUCCAUGCCAGAAAACCAUAUUUGACCACAUAUCAAGCUCUUGUUCUGAAAGAAUUCUGUAAGUCUCCCUCCAACGGAUUGUCUUCUUAAUUGAUGAUAAGAAGCAUGAUAAAUCCCCAUUUGCAGCAGCAAAAAAUCUAUGGAGCUCAUCCUCAUUAAUUCUUUCUGGUAAUGUCAUGCCUUGGUUUUCUAGCUCUUUGAGGAGUUGCAUCAACCAAUUUUCAGAUUCAAUACUUUGAGCAUUCUCAUCAGUAGUCCUUGAUGGAGGUGGUGAUUACUUUGAUUCUCGCGAUGGUGAUUGGUGAGCUAGAGCCAUUUACCAUAGGGAUGAAAUGCUGCAAUGAUGGGAGCGAUGUCUGAAGCAACAGAUGGAUCUUAAAUUCGAGCGUAUCGAGAGACACUUUGAAAAAAUUGUAGAUCAUUUUGAUGCUUUGAUAAUCAAUACAAACAGGGAUUAGUAUGAUUAAUCGAUGAUAGAAGGCCAAGGAUAAAGUUAGCUCAUGGUGACCCUGUCAACAAAGCUUUUUCUGCAUGUAGGCAAUAUAUCUACGAGUAUGACUAGGAGAGGAAGAUGACUAUAAACCAAAUAAGUUCUAUAGACAUCCACAUAACCAUAAUUAUCAAAGGCUCAAGGCACACUAAGAUGCCAAGGGGUCCUGGAUCCAGCGUAAGGCACAAGGUGCAAGCGGGCGCCUAAGCGAGGUGAAGCACAGGGAAAAAAAAAAAUCAAAGUCAAAUAAAUGUGAAUAUUCCAUCAAAUUUCAAAUAACAUGAAAUUAAAAAAUAAUAAUAACUAAUAAGCAAUCAAGUAAUAAUAAUUUUGCAUUCCAAAUAAAAUAAAAAUAAACUUGCUAAAAGUUUUAGUUUGAUGAGAUUUUGAUCGCUAGUUAUCACUAGCGAUACUAAUUCUGAAAACUUCCUAGUGCGUUAAUAUAGGAUUCUGAUGGAUCGACAAAUAUCAAAUUUAAGUGGUAGUGUUUUUUGCCAACGGAAGUGUUCGCCAAAGGUGGAAAUAAAGAAGACUUGGUUUUCCAGAGCCUUGUGCUUGGAAGAAGGGCACAUGUCUAGGUGCAUAAAGCAUUAGGGUUGAAGCCUGGUGAGCGUUGAGCUUGAGGUGCACCUUUAAUAACUAUGGCAAGCAUGCUACUGACAUUUAUUAGACAGCCCUCU